CCUACGGGAGGCAGCAGUGAGGAAUAUUGGUCAAUGGACGCAAGUCUGAACCAGCCAUGCCGCGUGCAGGAAGACGGCUCUAUGAGUUGUAAACUGCUUUUGUACGAGGGUAAACGCAGAUACGCGUAUCUGUCUGAAAGUAUCGUACGAAUAAGGAUCGGCUAACUCCGUGCCAGCAGCCGCGGUAAUACGGAGGAUUCAAGCGUUAUCCGGAUUUAUUGGGUUUAAAGGGUGCGUAGGCGGUCGGAUAAGUUAGAGGUGAAAACCCGAGGCUCAACUUCGGAAUUGCCUUUGAUACUGAUCGGCUAGAGAGUAGUUGCGGUAGGCGGAAUGUAUGGGGUAGCGGUGAAAUGCUUAGAGAUCAUACAGAACACCGAUUGCGAAGGCAGCUUACCAAGCUACUUCUGACGUUGAGGCACGAAAGCGUGGGGAGCAAACAGGAUUAGAUACCCCAGUAGUC
This 460-nucleotide ribosomal RNA is filed under the name uncultured bacterium. RNAcentral's name for it is "partial 16S ribosomal RNA". It matches the Rfam family "Bacterial small subunit ribosomal RNA", at positions 338 to 795 of the family's 1533-position model. The record is from RNAcentral.